RNAcentral lists this small RNA (1030 nucleotides) under Pongo abelii (Sumatran orangutan). Its description in RNAcentral is "retained intron". The record is from RNAcentral. Lineage: Eukaryota; Metazoa; Chordata; Mammalia; Primates; Hominidae.
UGACGCUCCAUGAAAGAAGUGGCAGUUUAGCCCUCGACUUCAGCAGCUGCACAAGGACUUUUGUUCCAGGCAGUUGUCCCCCCCGGAAUGCAGUGCCGCGGAAGCGCAUUGGGUGCAUUCUCAUUUGUCACACAGAGUAUUAAGAAGACAUGUCCUCGAGGGUUGCCAUUGAACAAAAUGAUGAAUUUUGCUGCUUUAUCAAGAGGAUUUUAAAGCAAAACUGACACUUUUUGAUUUUUAAAAGAAUUUUAGAACUUGUAUUUUCUUUGUGUAUCAUUUAUUACUGUGAGUGCGUGUGGUAGUACAGGUGACAAUGACUCCUAGUACAGUUUGGCAAGAACACCGCACUCCACUGUUUCUGAUGUGUCAGAUUGAUUUCCGUCCACAUUACUAGGAUUCCUUCUUUCUCUUCUUUUUCUUCUCUUCUAGCAAGGAAAUUUCAACAGUUCCCUUGGCUCAGAUGGGUACAUGCUCUCGGCCCUGACCUGUGGGAUGGCUCCAGUAACUUCUAUUACUGAGGGGCUCCAGCAGGUGGUCACCAUGGGCCUUUUCCGCACUAUUGCUUUGUUUUACCUUGGAAGUUUUGACAGCAUAGUUCGUCGCUGCAUGAUGCAGAGAGAAAAAUCUGAAAAUGCAGACAAAACUGCCUAAUCUUCUUACCCCUUGGAAGAAGACUGUUUCCAAAUAAUUUGAACAGCUUGCUGCUAAAUGGGACCCAAUUUUUGGCCUAUAGACACUUAUAUAUUGUUUUCGAAUAUGUCAGAUUGGACCAGUGCUCUUCAGAAAUGUAGCUGCAAGCAAGGGGCUAGAAGUUCACCUCCUGACAAUAUUAUUAAUACUAUGCAAAUAUGGAAUAGGAGACCAUUUGAUUUUUCUAGGCUUUGUGGUAGAGAGGUGAAGGUAUGAGAAUUAAUAGCAUGUGAACAAGGCAAAGAACAGGAUUCCAGAAUGAUCAUUAAAUUUUUUUCUAUUUAUUCCUUUUUGCCCCCCUAGAGAUUAAGUCCAGAAAUGUACUUUCUGGCACAUAAAG